CGAGCGUGUGGGAAGCCGAUCUCGGGCGGUUAAGAGCUCUCGUCCGAGAGGCCGCGCAUCGCGGCCCUAAUCAACCGUGGUCGCCGGAUCCUGCCUUUGGUAAGGUCAGCGGCCGUGACUACGGCUAUUUCCUCUACAA
This 139-nucleotide unclassified non-coding RNA is filed under the name uncultured fungus. Its description in RNAcentral is "sequence contains ITS1". The record is from RNAcentral. Lineage: Eukaryota; Fungi.